RNAcentral lists this ribosomal RNA (367 nucleotides) under Careopalpis akko. Its description in RNAcentral is "partial large subunit ribosomal RNA". The record is from RNAcentral. Lineage: Eukaryota; Metazoa; Arthropoda; Insecta; Diptera; Cecidomyiidae.
CCGAAUAUCUGAUGUGAGAAAUUCAAUAUUAUUUAUUGUAAUUCAUUUUUGAAAAUAUAUUAAAUAAUAUGCACUUUUCUCAUAGUAAGACAUUGUAAUCCAUUGAUAUUAUAUCUUUAUUUGUUUAAAGAUGAUUUAACAUACGGACAAAAUGUAUAUGAUUAUUCUAUAAAUGAUAUGUUUUACAUGUCAUAUGAAUAAAAUCGUUUUGUACCUGUUUAAAUAGUCGAUGGAUUUUAUAAAAUAAAAUCAUGCUUGCAAUUUAUUUUGCGUUUCGUAUCAUUAAUUUUUAAUUGAUGAUAGCAGAAAUGGCAUGUAUUUGAUUAACAAUGCGAUAGAUUUGGGAUGCCUUCGGGACCCGUCUUGA